CGGGUUGCAGCAGUGGGGAAUUUUGGACAAUGGGCGAAAGCCUGAUCCAGCAAUGCCGCGUGAGUGAAGAAGGCCUUCGGGUUGUAAAGCUCUUUUGUCAGGGAAGAAACGGUGUUUUCUAAUACAGAAUGCUAAUGACGGUACCUGAAGAAUAAGCACCGGCUAACUACGUGCCAGCAGCCGCGGUAAUACGUAGGGUGCAAGCGUUAAUCGGAAUUACUGGGCGUAAAGCGUGCGCAGGCGGUUAUGUAAGACAGAUGUGAAAUGCCCGGGCUUAACCUGGGAACUGCAUUUGUGACUGCAUGGCUAGAGUUUGGCAGAGGGGGGUAGAAUUCCACGUGUAGCAGUGAAAUGCGUAGAUAUGUGGAGGAACACCGAUGGCGAAGGCAGCCCCCUGGGUCAAGACUGACGCUCAUGCACGAAAGCGUGGGGAGCAAACAGGAUUAGAUACCCGAGU
Molecule: ribosomal RNA, 457 nt
Filed under: uncultured Herminiimonas sp.
Lineage: Bacteria; Pseudomonadati; Pseudomonadota; Betaproteobacteria; Burkholderiales; Oxalobacteraceae
Description: bacterial SSU rRNA
Rfam family: Bacterial small subunit ribosomal RNA
Source: RNAcentral